RNAcentral lists this ribosomal RNA (859 nucleotides) under uncultured bacterium. RNAcentral describes it as "bacterial SSU rRNA". It matches the Rfam family "Bacterial small subunit ribosomal RNA", at positions 524 to 1381 of the family's 1533-position model. The record is from RNAcentral.
UACGAAGGGGGCUAGCGUUGCUCGGAAUCACUGGGCGUAAAGCGCACGUAGGCGGACUCUUAAGUCGGUGGUGAAAUCCUGGAGCUCAACUCCAGAACUGCCUUCGAUACUGAGAGUCUCGAGUCCGGGAGAGGUGAGUGGAACUGCGAGUGUAGAGGUGAAAUUCGUAGAUAUUCGCAAGAACACCAGUGGCGAAGGCGGCUCACUGGCCCGGUACUGACGCUGAGGUGCGAAAGCGUGGGGAGCAAACAGGAUUAGAUACCCUGGUAGUCCACGCCGUAAACGAUGGAUGCUAGCCGUUGGCAGGCUUGCCUGUCAGUGGCGCAGCUAACGCAUUAAGCAUCCCGCCUGGGGAGUACGGUCGCAAGAUUAAAACUCAAAGGAAUUAACGGGGGCCCGCACAAGCGGUGGAGCAUGUGGUUCAACUCGAAGCAACGCGCAGAACCUUACCAACCUUUGGCAUGUCCCGUAUGAGCAACAGAGAUGUAGCUCUUCAGUUCGGCUGGCGGGAACACAGGUGCUGCAUAGCUGUCGUCAGCUCGUGUCGUGAGAUGUUGGGUUAAGUCCCGCAACGAGCGCAACCCUCGCCCUUAGUUGCCAUCAUUCAGUUGGGCACUCUAAGGGGACUGCCGGUGAUAAGCCGCGAGGAAGGUGGGGAUGACGUCAAGUCCCCAUGGCCCUUACAGGUUGGGCUACACACGUGCUACAAUGGCGGUGACAGUGGGACGCAAUGGAGCAAUCCUGCGCAAAUCUCAAAAAGCCGUCUCAGUUCGGAUUGCACUCUGCAACUCGAGUGCAUGAAGUUGGAAUCGCUAGUAAUCGCAGAUCAGCACGCUGCGGUGAAUACGUUCCCGGGCCU